RNAcentral lists this ribosomal RNA (512 nucleotides) under uncultured bacterium. RNAcentral's name for it is "partial 16S ribosomal RNA". It matches the Rfam family "Bacterial small subunit ribosomal RNA", at positions 28 to 507 of the family's 1533-position model. The record is from RNAcentral.
GAUGAACGCUGGCGGCGUGCCUAAUACAUGCAAGUCGAACGAAACUUCUUUAUCACCGAGUGCUUGCACUCACCGAUAAAGAGUUGAGUGGCGAACGGGUGAGUAACACGUGGGCAACCUGCCCAAAAGAGGGGGAUAACACUUGGAAACAGGUGCUAAUACCGCAUAACCAUAGUUACCGCAUGGUAACUAUGUAAAAGGUGGCUAUACUACCGCUUUUGGAUGGGCCCGCGGCGCAUUAGCUAGUUGAUAGGGUAAAGGCUUACCAAGGCAAUGAUGCGUAGCCGAAUUGAGAGGUUGAUCGGCCACAUUGGGACUGAGACACGGCCCAAACUCCUACGGGAGGCAGCAGUAGGGAAUCUUCCACAAUGGGCGAAAGCCUGAUGGAGCAACGCCGCGUGGGUGAAGAAGGUCUUCGGAUCGUAAAACCCUGUUGUUAGAGAAGAAAGUGCGUGAGAGUAACUGUUCACGUUUCGACGGUAUCUAACCAGAAAGCCACUGCUAACUACGUG